RNAcentral lists this ribosomal RNA (508 nucleotides) under uncultured Glomus. Its description in RNAcentral is "SSU rRNA". It matches the Rfam family "Eukaryotic small subunit ribosomal RNA", at positions 569 to 1078 of the family's 1831-position model. Lineage: Eukaryota; Fungi; Glomeromycota; Glomeromycetes; Glomerales; Glomeraceae. The record is from RNAcentral.
AGCAGCCGCGGUAAUUCCAGCUCCAAUAGCGUAUAUUAAAGUUGUUGCAGUUAAAAAGCUCGUAGUUGAAUUUCGGGGUCAGCAAGUUGGUCGUGCCACUGGUAUGCACUGGCCCUACUGGUUCCUCCUUCUUGAAGAACUGUAAUGCCAUUAAUUUGGUGUUGCAGGGAAACAGGACUGUUACUUUGAAAAAAUUAGAGUGUUUAAAGCAGGCAAUCGCUUGAAUACAUUAGCAUGGAAUAAUGAAAUAGGACGUUCGAUCCUAUUUUGUUGGUUUCUAGGAUUGACGUAAUGAUUAAUAGGGAUAGUUGGGGGCAUUAGUAUUCAAUUGUCAGAGGUGAAAUUCUUGGAUUUAUUGAAGACUAACUACUGCGAAAGCAUUUGCCAAGGAUGUUUUCAUUAAUCAAGAACGAAAGUUAGGGGAUCGAAGACGAUCAGAUACCGUCGUAGUCUUAACCAUAAACUAUGCCGACUAGGGAUCGGAUGAAGUUAAUUUUUUAAUGACUCA